GGGCCCGUGGUCUAGCCUGGACUAGGAUGCGAGGUUCGGGUCCUCGUGGUCGGGGGUUCAAAUCCCCCCGGGCCCA
This 76-nucleotide transfer RNA is filed under the name Sulfodiicoccus acidiphilus. It matches the Rfam family "tRNA". From Rfam's summary of the family: Transfer RNA (tRNA) molecules are approximately 80 nucleotides in length. Their secondary structure includes four short double-helical elements and three loops (D, anti-codon, and T loops). The record is from Rfam by way of RNAcentral. Lineage: Archaea; Thermoproteati; Thermoproteota; Thermoprotei; Sulfolobales; Sulfolobaceae.